AAUUCCUCAAGAAAACCAUCAUGUGAUCAUUAUGGUAAAAAUCACCUUGCAGAAAGACCCUGUGCGUGUUCUCUUGCUGUUGCGUCCGUUGGUGCCUUUUUGCUUCUUCAAGUCAAAAGGAUGGGAAUUUUAAGCCUGCUGGUUUGAUAGAUCAAGUUCUCCCAAGAUCUCGAAGAAAAGAGAAAUCAAAAGGUCUUCCUCCACCUAUACAGAAUUGAGGCUGCACAUCAAGAAAAUCCUCAUCCACAAGUGGUGAUUAUGGCAUAAAUCUUGAAUCUAUCCCUACCCAUGAUAUGCAGAAAAGCAGCAGGUAUGAGACCGAAAUCUGCAGUAUUAACAAAAAUCCAGCUGCUUUUAGCGUGCCACAAGAUCUGAAAUUUGGAAAAUCAAUUUCUUCUGAGAAUAGAACUGGCUUAAUCAAUAUGGAUGGGCACAAGAAAAAGAGGGAUUUAAAGCUCACUUCUGUAAAAGAACGGGCUCGACGCCGAAUUGCAUGAGCUUCUCCCAGAUUUCAAUACUAGUAGCAGUUCACUUCCAAAUUCAUCUCUCAUUGAAAUAAUGGUUAUAGGGCACAUCCUUUUCAAGUGCAUUAGACAAAACUGUUUCUUGAAUUUCCAGUUGAGUCUUCAUUUGUUUCAUUUUCAGCAGAUGGAAGUUUUUCUUGCUGGUUCCUGCAGAAAGAGAAAACCUUGUAUGCUUAGUGGAGGAUAUCAGAUAGAAAUGCGUGCCAGAUUAUGCAUGGUAACUGAUCUUUACUCAGCUCAGGAGUGAUGAUUCUCUUGGCUCUGUAUCUUAUUGGGCCUUUUCCGUGUCCAGGAUGAACUAUGAGAGCCUUGUUAGGUGCGAGGUGAAGGCCUGUAUAUACCUACAUAUACCAUAAUCUUGCAAAAAUAAACUUUACAUAUAUGCAGUUUUGAUUUUGGGUCUGUAUGGUGGUGUUAUAUUUGACAAGGUUUCAUAAAAGCCCCAAUAUUGCCCUUUGGUUUUCUAGGGCCUCACAUGGUUCUUCAGUUUUCUUGGGUUUUAGUCUUAUGCUCCGUGCCUGACCAAGAAAUGGGAAUGGAAACAGAGAACAGGACAGUAGGUAUUUUUGGACUCCAAUCGAUGUAAUAGAGAGGACCCCAAAGCUUGUAAUUUAUUUAGUGUUUUACCAAAUAACUUGGUGAGAAUGAGACAAUGUUUAAUGAAAUUUGGGUGCUUCAGUAUGUAGAAUCAUUGGAGGAUGACAUUAUUGAAAGUUUGAGCAACAGUAUCCCCUAUUUUGAUGUUUAUGGGUGAUUUUAUGCGAUGACUGAUGCUGCAGAAGCCUGAAUCCUGAAUAUUUGGCACUUGUUGGGAUGAAGGAUUU
Molecule: long non-coding RNA, 1348 nt
Organism: Vitis vinifera (wine grape)
Lineage: Eukaryota; Viridiplantae; Streptophyta; Magnoliopsida; Vitales; Vitaceae
Exons: 2
Source: RefSeq, a predicted model, not a curated record